AACGAACGCUGGCGGCAUGCCUAACACAUGCAAGUCGAACGAGAUCUUCGGGUCUAGUGGCGCACGGGUGCGUAACGCGUGGGAAUCUUCCCUUUGGUUCGGAAUAACAGUUUGAAACGACUGCUAAUACCGGAUGAUGACUAAAGUCCAACGAUUUGUCGCCAGAGGAUGAGCCCGCGUAGGAUGAGCUAGUUGGUGUGGUAAAGGCGCACCAAGGUGACGAUCCUUAGCUGGUCUGAGAGGAUGAUCAGCCACACUGGGACUGAGACACGGCCCAGACUCCUACGGGAGGCAGCAGUGGGGAAUAUUGGACAAUGGGCGAAAGCCUGAUCCAGCAAUGCCGCGUGAGUGAUGAAGGCCUUAGGGUUGUAAAGCUCUUUUACCCGGGAUGAUAAUGACAGUACCGGGAGAAUAAGCUCCGGCUAACUCCGUGCCAGCCGCCGCCGUAA
This 449-nucleotide ribosomal RNA is filed under the name uncultured bacterium. Its description in RNAcentral is "partial 16S ribosomal RNA". It matches the Rfam family "Bacterial small subunit ribosomal RNA", at positions 29 to 523 of the family's 1533-position model. The record is from RNAcentral.